GUGGAAACUUGGUCACUAACUGCAUGAUGUUGCAGAAGUGAGGGGAACCAGGUUUGCUAAAGUAAUUGUGGUGAUAGAAAUGUAUUAGCCUCAGAAGCUACUGAGGUGGUCCAUUCUAUCCUAGUACAGUG
This is a small nucleolar RNA of Myotis lucifugus (little brown bat), 131 nucleotides long. The record is from Ensembl. NCBI's taxonomy places the organism in Eukaryota, Metazoa, Chordata, Mammalia, Chiroptera, Vespertilionidae.